UGGGGAAUAUUGGACAAUGGGCGAAAGCCUGAUCCAGCAAUGCCGCGUGAGUGAUGAAGGCCCUAGGGUUGUAAAGCUCUUUUACCCGGGAUGAUAAUGACAGUACCGGGAGAAUAAGCUCCGGCUAACUCCGUGCCAGCAGCCGCGGUAAUACGGAGGGAGCUAGCGUUGUUCGGAAUUACUGGGCGUAAAGCGCGCGUAGGCGGUCCAUCAAGUCAGAGGUGAAAGCCCGGGGCUCAACCCCGGAACUGCCUUUGAAACUGGCGGACUAGAAUCUUGGAGAGGUCAGUGGAAUUCCGAGUGUAGAGGUGAAAUUCGUAGAUAUUCGGAAGAACACCAGUGGCGAAGGCGACUGACUGGACAAGUAUUGACGCUGAGGUGCGAAAGCGUGGGGAGCAAACAGG
This 404-nucleotide ribosomal RNA is filed under the name uncultured bacterium. Its description in RNAcentral is "bacterial SSU rRNA". It matches the Rfam family "Bacterial small subunit ribosomal RNA", at positions 355 to 776 of the family's 1533-position model. RNAcentral also lists the same sequence under 1 other name. The record is from RNAcentral.